CCCGCCACGCCUCUUAACAAUGCGUACCACGGCGGGA
This is a small RNA of 37 nucleotides. It matches the Rfam family "abiF RNA". The record is from Rfam.